RNAcentral lists this ribosomal RNA (1447 nucleotides) under uncultured bacterium. RNAcentral describes it as "bacterial SSU rRNA". It matches the Rfam family "Bacterial small subunit ribosomal RNA". The record is from RNAcentral.
GACGAACGCUGGCGGCGUGCUUAACACAUGCAAGUCGAACGGAAAGGCCCUGCUUUUGUGGGGUGCUCGAGUGGCGAACGGGUGAGUAACACGUGAGUAACCUGCCCUUGACUUUGGGAUAACUUCAGGAAACUGGGGCUAAUACCGGAUAGGAGCUCCUGCUGCAUGGUGGGGGUUGGAAAGUUUCGGCGGUUGGGGAUGGACUCGCGGCUUAUCAGCUUGUUGGUGGGGUAGUGGCUUACCAAGGCUUUGACGGGUAGCCGGCCUGAGAGGGUGACCGGCCACAUUGGGACUGAGAUACGGCCCAGACUCCUACGGGAGGCAGCAGUGGGGAAUAUUGCACAAUGGGCGGAAGCCUGAUGCAGCAACGCCGCGUGCGGGAUGACGGCCUUCGGGUUGUAAACCGCUUUCGCCUGUGACGAAGCGUGAGUGACGGUAAUGGGUAAAGAAGCACCGGCUAACUACGUGCCAGCAGCCGCGGUGAUACGUAGGGUGCGAGCGUUGUCCGGAUUUAUUGGGCGUAAAGGGCUCGUAGGUGGUUGAUCGCGUCGGAAGUGUAAUCUUGGGGCUUAACCCUGAGCGUGCUUUCGAUACGGGUUGACUUGAGGAAGGUAGGGGAGAAUGGAAUUCCUGGUGGAGCGGUGGAAUGCGCAGAUAUCAGGAGGAACACCAGUGGCGAAGGCGGUUCUCUGGGCCUUUCCUGACGCUGAGGAGCGAAAGCGUGGGGAGCGAACAGGCUUAGAUACCCUGGUAGUCCACGCUGUAAACGGUGGGUACUAGGUGUGGGGUCCAUUCCACGGGUUCCGUGCCGUAGCUAACGCUUUAAGUACCCCGCCUGGGGAGUACGGCCGCAAGGCUAAAACUCAAAGGAAUUGACGGGGUCCCGCACAAGCGGCGGAGCAUGCGGAUUAAUUCGAUGCAACGCGUAGAACCUUACCUGGGUUUGACAUGGAUCGGGAGCGCUCAGAGAUGGGUGUGCCUCUUUUGGGGUCGGUUCACAGGUGGUGCAUGGCUGUCGUCAGCUCGUGUCGUGAGAUGUUGGGUUAAGUCCCGCAACGAGCGCAACCCUUGUUCACUGUUGCCAGCACGUUAUGGUAGGGACUCAGUGGAGACCGCCGGGGUCAACUCGGAGGAAGGUGGGGAUGACGUCAAGUCAUCAUGCCCCUUAUGUCCAGGGCUUCACGCAUGCUACAAUGGCUGGUACAGAGAGUGGCGAGCCUGUGAGGGUGAGCGAAUCUCGGAAAGCCGGUCUCAGUUCGGAUUGGGGUCUGCAACUCGACCUCAUGAAGUCGGAGUCGCUAGUAAUCGCAGAUCAGCAACGCUGCGGUGAAUACGUUCCCGGGGCUUGUACACACCGCCCGUCAAGUCAUGAAAGUUGGUAACACCCGAAGCCGGUGGCCUAACCGUUGUGGGGGAGCCGUCGAAGGUGGGACUGGUGAUUAGGACU